GACAUUUGGUAGAGACUGUUGAAGCCACCUGGUCCCAGCAGACCCCAGAAGGCAGCCACAUUCGCUGUGCUGGGACAAGGUUGUUGAGGAUGAAGCCUGGUGUCAGAUGUGU
RNAcentral lists this ribosomal RNA (112 nucleotides) under Panthera pardus (leopard). The record is from RNAcentral. Lineage: Eukaryota; Metazoa; Chordata; Mammalia; Carnivora; Felidae.